RNAcentral lists this ribosomal RNA (253 nucleotides) under uncultured bacterium. RNAcentral's name for it is "partial 16S ribosomal RNA". It matches the Rfam family "Bacterial small subunit ribosomal RNA", at positions 524 to 776 of the family's 1533-position model. The record is from RNAcentral.
UACAGAGGUGGCAAGCGUUGUUCGGAAUUACUGGGCGUAAAGGGCGCGUAGGCGGUUCGGUAAGUCCUGUGUGAAAUCCCUCGGCUCAACUGAGGAACUGCACGGGAGACUGCCGGGCUUGAGUUCGGGAGAGGGAAGCGGAAUUCCGGGUGUAGCGGUGAAAUGCGUAGAUAUCCGGAGGAACACCGGUGGCGAAGGCGGCUUCCUGGACCGACACUGACGCUGAGGCGCGAAAGCGUGGGGAGCGAACAGG